GUUGAGGUAGCUCAAUGGCAGAGCAGCGGACUCAUAAGCCGCCGACUUGGGUUCGAUUCCCUGCCUCAAUA
This 71-nucleotide transfer RNA is filed under the name Caudoviricetes sp. RNAcentral's name for it is "tRNA-Met". It matches the Rfam family "tRNA". Rfam says of the family: Transfer RNA (tRNA) molecules are approximately 80 nucleotides in length. Their secondary structure includes four short double-helical elements and three loops (D, anti-codon, and T loops). The record is from RNAcentral. Lineage: Duplodnaviria; Heunggongvirae; Uroviricota; Caudoviricetes.